AGAGUUUGAUCCUGGCUCAGAUUGAACGCUGGCGGCAUGCCUUACACAUGCAAGUCGAACGGCAGCACGGGAGCUUGCUCCUGGUGGCGAGUGGCGAACGGGUGAGUAAUAUAUCGGAACGUACCCUAGAGUGGGGGAUAACGCAGCGAAAGUUGCGCUAAUACCGCAUACGAUCUACGGAUGAAAGUGGGGGAUCGCAAGACCUCAUGCUCAUGGAGCGGCCGAUAUCUGAUUAGCUAGUUGGUAGGGUAAAAGCCUACCAAGGCUUCGAUCAGUAGCUGGUCUGAGAGGACGACCAGCCACACUGGAACUGAGACACGGUCCAGACUCCUACGGGAGGCAGCAGUGGGGAAUUUUGGACAAUGGGCGCAAGCCUGAUCCAGCAAUGCCGCGUGAGUGAAGAAGGCCUUCGGGUUGUAAAGCUCUUUUGUCAGGGAAGAAACGGUGGACUCUAAUACAGAUCACUAAUGACGGUACCUGAAGAAUAAGCACCGGCUAACUACGUGCCAGCAGCCGCGGUAAUACGUAGGGUGCAAGCGUUAAUCGGAAUUACUGGGCGUAAAGCGUGCGCAGGCGGUUUGGUAAGACAGAUGUGAAAUCCCCGGGCUCAACCUGGGAAUUGCAUUUGUGACUGCCCGGCUAGAGUGUGUCAGAGGGGGGUAGAAUUCCACGUGUAGCAGUGAAAUGCGUAGAGAUGUGGAGGAAUACCGAUGGCGAAGGCAGCCCCCUGGGAUAACACUGACGCUCAUGCACGAAAGCGUGGGGAGCAAACAGGAUUAGAUACCCUGGUAGUCCACGCCCUAAACGAUGUCUACUAGUUGUUGGGUCUUAAUUGACUUAGUAACGCAGCUAACGCGUGAAGUAGACCGCCUGGGGAGUACGGUCGCAAGAUUAAAACUCAAAGGAAUUGACGGGGACCCGCACAAGCGGUGGAUGAUGUGGAUUAAUUCGAUGCAACGCGAAAAACCUUACCUACCCUUGACAUGUACGGAAUCCCUGAGAGAUUAGGGAGUGCUCGAAAGAGAACCGUAACACAGGUGCUGCAUGGCUGUCGUCAGCUCGUGUCGUGAGAUGUUGGGUUAAGUCCCGCAACGAGCGCAACCCUUGUCAUUAGUUGCUACGAAAGGGCACUCUAAUGAGACUGCCGGUGACAGACCGGAGGAAGGUGGGGAUGACGUCAAGUCCUCAUGGCCCUUAUGGGUAGGGCUUCACACGUCAUACAAUGGUACAUACAGAGGGCCGCCAACCCGCGAGGGGGAGCUAAUCCCAGAAAGUGUAUCGUAGUCCGGAUUGUAGUCUGCAACUCGACUACAUGAAGUUGGAAUCGCUAGUAAUCGCGGAUCAGCAUGUCGCGGUGAAUACGUUCCCGGGUCUUGUACACACCGCCCGUCACACCAUGGGAGCGGGUUUCACCAGAAGUAGGUAGCCUAACCGUAAGGAGGGCGCUUACCACGGUGGGAUUCGUGACUGGGGUGAAGUCGUAACAAGGUA
This 1491-nucleotide ribosomal RNA is filed under the name metagenome. Its description in RNAcentral is "bacterial SSU rRNA". It matches the Rfam family "Bacterial small subunit ribosomal RNA". The record is from RNAcentral.